GCAGUUUCUCCUUUUCCCUUGAUACGAUAAGCGCCAUCGUCUUCAUAGGUUCUCUUCUAAGCUUUUACUUCUUCCAUAAUGAGAUGAGAGCAAACUCAUUUUCCAGUGAAGAAAGAAGUUGAAGCUUGCGGAACUAAGAACAAUACGUAAAGGUGAUAGCACAAUGACGGACUAUUUUCUUCGUCCAAAGGCGAUGUCUGAUCAACUUGCGGUGUCGGGGUCUAAACUCUCACAAUCUGAGUUGAAGCAAAAUAUUCUUCAAGGUCUUGAAACCUCAUUCGAUUAUAUUGUUACUUCUUUACAUACCACAAUGGAUGGUAUGUCUUUUGAGGAUUUUAAAUCUCACCUGUUCGCCUAUGAAUUGCGUACAAAUCAAUAAUAAGCUCUUUUUCCGACUCCUACCACCGUUCAUAUAGCUGCCAGACCUUCUAAUCCUCGUCCUUACAAUUCAACUCCACGUCCUUCUUUUUCCUAUUCAUCUCCUUGUCCGUCCUAUCACUUCUUAUUGAACCCCACGUCCAACUGUCGUCGUCCCAAUUUCAACCAGAGUCGUGGUGUCCACAUACCUCAAUCAUCUCACUUCAAAUGAUUCUUAAGAACCUUGUGGUUUAUGUGGUGGACGAAAUUAUCUUGUUUGGAGGUGCUGGCAUCAAUUUGAUCCCAAUUUCGUGCGUUCUUCCAUUAACAACCGGUGUCCAUGAUUCAAUCCUCCCUUUGCAUAUGUGGUUGCACCAAGUUCUUUUCAAUAUAGUCAAUGGGUAGCAGAUUCUGGCGCUUCUCAUCAUAUAACUCGCUAUAUACAUAAUCUACAUGUGAGAACUUUGUAUGAAAGUCCUGAUAAAGUAAAAAUAGACGAACAAGGAGGUGCUCCGCGGGCAAAUUGAAAAUGGUUUAUACUUAUAUUUUGGUGCAACAACCUCGGAGCUACUUACAUUGCAGUUGUGAUGGCUUCAUUCAGUCGACUACAUGAAAGGCCAUUGUACGAGACGGUGGUGUUGGAGCUAAUUAGUGAUAUAAUUGUUAAUUUUCGUAUAUUACGCGGUACAUUAGGAGGUUCUCGGAUUGCGGCGCUACUGAGAAAACAUGGAGAGAAUGAUGUUAUUAUUAUAGAGAGGGAUCACAUCUAAAUGUAUUAAACCGUUUUGGCGACAUAAAUCUAGAAAAUACUGAAUAUUGGUAUCAAAUUGUCAAAAAUGUUGACUGUACUUUUAAAUCAAUUAUCUAUGACAUGUAUGGAUGAAAAUUGGAAGGAUGCUCCUUUGGAAAUUGACAUCCUAACACAAUGUACUUUCGGUAUGGAAGCCAUGAGAUUUAAAGGACGUGCUAACGACACAUUAAAUAUGGAAAAUGUGUUCCACAUACAGAUUCUUUUGUUGAUGAGGAAGACCACAUCAUUUAUGAUCCUAAGGAACUGAGCAAACUUAUACCCAAGAUUUGGUAGCUUUCGGAAGAAAAUUGCUAGCCCUAUGAUGCAAGAUGAGUGGGCAAAUGGCUUUAUCCUAUGUGCUGAGGCUAGUGAGUUAACUUGGAGAAUCACAUGGAUAGGAUGGUAAAAUAUGAGUAGAGGGGAGAUUCGAUCAUACGACUUCACUCUCAAGGACCAAAAUACUUAACCACUGGGCCAAGCUCAAAUUGUUGAAAUAAAUAUUCAAAAGAAGUC
Molecule: long non-coding RNA, 1660 nt
Organism: Papaver somniferum (opium poppy)
Lineage: Eukaryota; Viridiplantae; Streptophyta; Magnoliopsida; Ranunculales; Papaveraceae
Exons: 5
Source: RefSeq, a predicted model, not a curated record